UUGAGGAAGGAGAAGUCGUAACAAGGUUUCGUAGGUGAACCUGCGGAAGGAUCAUUG
This 57-nucleotide ribosomal RNA is filed under the name Samolus junceus. Its description in RNAcentral is "partial 18S ribosomal RNA". It matches the Rfam family "Eukaryotic small subunit ribosomal RNA", at positions 1774 to 1831 of the family's 1831-position model. The record is from RNAcentral. Lineage: Eukaryota; Viridiplantae; Streptophyta; Magnoliopsida; Ericales; Primulaceae.